UGCUUAAAGCUCAAUCUUAAGAAACCGUUUGCAUCAAAUUGUUAGAAGAUGAAAGAUUGGAGGACUUCACAUUUCGAAGAUCAUGGAAAUAUUGAUCACUAUUAGGAAAAUAAUAAAACAAUAAAUCAUUAUUUUCAAGAACAUGGGAUCAUCAAUUAUUAUUAUGCUACACGUGGAUUAUUAUUACAAUAAUUGGUGAGAACAUGGAAUCAUCAAUUAUCGUUUCUUAAUAAAUUGUACAGGCUUCAAUCACCUACAAAUGUCACUCCUCCAAUUAUUUAACACUACAAUUCCUACAAGCGUGGGUCGAGUUUGGCUGAAAAAUAAUGGAAUUGAGAAAAUACAGCUAAAAAUGGACACGGGUAUUCACGUGGUUCACCCAAUUUAGACUACGUCCAUGGACAAGUAUAGGAGGAUUUUGCUCUAGUAGGAGAAUUACACCACACUCGCUAAAUACAAGGAAAUAACAACAAUUAAUCUAUCUUGUAAUUAGGAGAAAACAAGUAGGAAAUACUCUCUUAAUUUUCUCUCUACUCAAUUUGCUUUCUACAAAUUUUUCC
RNAcentral lists this long non-coding RNA (560 nucleotides) under Olea europaea subsp. europaea. The record is from RNAcentral. Lineage: Eukaryota; Viridiplantae; Streptophyta; Magnoliopsida; Lamiales; Oleaceae.